GCAAUCCAUUGAGUCUCCUGGGGUUAUGGCAACCAGGGGAGAAGUUCAACAUGAAGGCUUGUUCUGAUCCACUCAGGGAAUCCUAACACCAAGACGAAGCCAACAUGAA
Molecule: long non-coding RNA, 109 nt
Filed under: Naja naja (Indian cobra)
Lineage: Eukaryota; Metazoa; Chordata; Lepidosauria; Squamata; Elapidae
Description: lncRNA (ENSNNAG00000018934.1)
Source: RNAcentral